Molecule: non-coding RNA, 61 nt
Filed under: Pseudomonas veronii
Lineage: Bacteria; Pseudomonadati; Pseudomonadota; Gammaproteobacteria; Pseudomonadales; Pseudomonadaceae
Description: gabT
Rfam family: gabT RNA
Source: RNAcentral
AGUGGCCGGGAACGCUGUGUCAGUCGAUCAUCGCAUGCUGCCGUAGUUGCCCCCCGCCACG